Molecule: long non-coding RNA, 495 nt
Organism: Polistes canadensis
Lineage: Eukaryota; Metazoa; Arthropoda; Insecta; Hymenoptera; Vespidae
Exons: 3
Source: RefSeq, a predicted model, not a curated record
UAGAGAAAAUAGAAAAAGAAAAUCGGCUGGAACAGUUAGAAAGAAAUAAAAAGGACAAAAAAAAAGAAGAAAUAUUGAAGGAAAGUGGUGCCCUCUGCACCACCUGAUGAAGGUACUUAGACACAGAGAGGAAGGAACCAUCCUAUCCAACACAACAAGGAUGCCAUAUUGAUUCGAUGAGGAUCACCAUUGGAAUUUCCUCUUACGAAAAAAUCAAAUUCUUUUCAAUUGCAAUGCGAACUUACGACGGUACAUUGCAUAUAGAAGUUGAAGUAUUUGCUUGUCCCCGAGGAAGUCGAGGUAAAUACCUUUCUGUUGACGACAGGGAAGAGAAUCGCGUGUCCUAGUUUUGUGAAACUCGAUGGACCACACGAUGCAUCUAUCUAUCUCUUUCUCUCAUGCACAAACACACACACAUACAUUCACUCUUUCUGAUACGGUAUCUUGAAGCAAGUGUUGUAUUCGAUAUACCUAGGUGUAUAUAUAUAUAUAUAU